CAGAUCUUGUUGAUCUUGUCGGCCAUCACGACGGGGUUCUGCUUGGCGAUCUGCUCCCUGGCCGCCGUCUUGUAGUCGAAGGUGCACUGGUGAGAGUCCGUGUAGCGGUGCGUGGAGCAGAAGGUCCCGCCGCAGCGGCACUGGAACCCAGUCAGACCCACCUUCUUGCGGCAGCUCAGGCACCGGUUGCUCGGCGGCUUUGGGUUUGGGGGCUGCUGCUGCUCCUGUGCCGCUGCUUCUUCUGCUUGCUUGUUGUCUACUACGGCUUCGGCAGCGGCGGCGGCGGGAGCAUCGUGUAGCUUGAUGAAGUCCUUAUAGCACUUGGAGCACAUCUUGUUUGUCAUGCUACUGCCGAAGAAGCCACAAUUGUUUAUGCACUGAAUUGGGGCCUCUCCAGUCUCCUCGGACUCUUGUUUCCAGCUCUCGUGUGCCAUUGUUACCAAGAAUUGGCUGCAGGGAUAAAAGUUCACAGUUCAUUAGCAAGAGAUGGGUAUGCAGACAUAAGAAAGCAAAUAAGUAAUGGCAGAAAGUAAGUAAAGAGUGAUAAGAAGACAGAAAUACAUGAUUCAGGUUCGAAAAAAAAUUACAACCCUGGAACUAUAAAUGUUGUGUAGACAGAAACUAAGAGGAAAUUACCAGCGCUGGAUUGAAUUCAUAUAAAGGAUUGCAGCAAAUUACAAUAAUCCUUGUAUCCUUUAAAGAAUGAGGUUCAGACCAUCAGCUAAAAAAAAAACAAAUCUGAAUUGCAAAGGGGCACACACACACAUGAAUAAUCCCAGGUUAACGAUCAACGAUGUUUAUGCCAAUUUUAUCGUAACAUGUCAUUUCUCUCCAAGGUCUUUCAAAUAGUUAUCUGAUAAACACACAGCCUGGAUUAUUCAGAUAAGCAGCAGCUGCAGGCAAAGGGCAUGUUAGCAAUCAGCACCCAAUGCCAAAAGUUGAUUCAAAUACCAAAGUCAGUGUCCAAUGUAAGUUGACUGAUUGAAACAUCAAAAGUUGCUACCAUGAUUCUUUAUUCCUGACAAGAUUAAUUAAAUUAGCACAUACCACCAGGUUGCAUAUUAAGCUGCAAUACUGAAAACAAAACACGAUCUUCUUAUCUGUCAGCUUAUAUCAAGCACAAGCAGAGCGAAGUAAAGAUCGACAAGCGCAUAUCCAACCUGCACAGCAGCAAUGGUAUCGUUAGCCAACAACACACACCCCAGGUCUUGUGUGUCAGGCCGCACCCCAGGUGGCCUCGGGCCAGCCGGCUGAGGGAGCCCGCGGCGGCCAUGGAGCUGAGCGGGAGGUCAGUGGAGCAGGGAGCGGCUGUGGUGGUGCUUCGUUCGGUCGCCGGCGAUGGCGUCCGCGCCUGUACGUGCGCGCCGAGCGGGAGGAAGAGCGAGCGAGUGCGAGAAUGGGAGAGCAGAGACAGAGAGCGGCGCCGGGAGAACGGAGAGCGCUGGGCUCCGUUUCUUGCUGUUCGUAGAGGCGAUGUGGCGGGCAUGCGAGCAAAGCACGACUGCCUAGGGCCACGCGGCGCGCGGCUUCUGCUCCCGGUCGCUCACGCGUGUCAGCGCGGUUCAGGCGAUUCCUCCAGAAUAUUUUACAAAAUUUUUCACAUUUACCAUCACAUUAAAUUUUACGACAUAUAUAAAUAACUAAUUACACAGUUUAUCUAUAAUUUACGAGAUAAAUCUUUUGAGCCUAGUUAAUCUAUAAUUAGACAAUAAUUAUAAAAUACAAACGAAAAUACUACUAUUUAUAUUUUACAAAAGAAAUUUGGAAGUAAACAAGAUCUGAUGAGACCUAUCUAUAGCUGUAUGAAAUCAUGCAUCAGGGAGAGAACAGAGUCAAUUUGCAAAAUCCAAAAGAAUUCUGCUAAUAGGAUGAAGAAAACCAAUCUGUUAUCCCUUAGAUUUGUACUUGCAGUCUACGAAAGAAUGCAAAUUACCGAGAGGGUCAAACCGUCAUGAGUUUGACUAUUUGUUUUAAGAAAAUGUUUAAAAGUUUAUGACGUACCAUGUGUUGUUGGAUGGCUAUAAUAUUUGCUACUUUUAAGUCUUGAUGAUGAGCAGGAGCUCCAGAUCCUGAUGAUCACCAACCGACAAGAUGUACUGGACUUGUAUUAUAAUAUCAGCUAGUAGGAUUAAAGAUUCCACAUUUAACUUGAAGUGAUGGAAUAAGUUAAGAAAGAUGCACUGAAUUUAAAGUUGAAUUUCUGAACAUUCAGGCGAGCAAGGCCUUCCAAUUUAUGGAAUGAAUUGAGACUCAUAAUGCUUUGAAAUAGAUCUGGUUGAGUUUUUGAACAUUUAGGCGAACAAGUAGCCUUCAAAUUUGGAAGGACAUGGGAUCUACUUUGGAAAAAGGAAACAGAAGGCCUGUGUCAAGGAAACAUUAAUCUGAAUGUGCAUAGGUGCGCAAAGGACAUGGAUCUAAUAAUGCAUUUGUACUAGGUUUCACCUAAUACAAAUGCAUUGAUGGGUCUGUUGCUGAACAUGAAACCCAACCCGAAAUGUUUCGGAGACAAUUGGAUCCAGGCGUGAUGUUGGCCCAGACGGGAUCGUGUUGGGACUUAUUUACGUCUUGUUUAGUUCACCUAAAAAUAAAAAACUAGCCAUUAAUUCAUUAGUGGACAAGCAUGGACUAGAACGAAGGUUCACGCAAUGCAUCUAGUUUACUUUUUGUCACGUAUCCAAACAACCAGAAAAUUGUAUUUUUAGCAGCUCAAACAAUACGCUUUACAAAACUAACAUCCAGAAUAUUGUUCGUAUAAAAAUAGCAGCCCAAACAAUUGCUUGUUAUUUUCAUUACCAUUUUUCCUUUUUCUCUUUAUUUCUCCUAAAAUCUAGACGAAUUUGCCUUUUUGCUAAUUUCAUGUAACCAGCCGCCCCGCCGCCGGUUCUGGUUCGUACUUCCUCCACCUUAAAUUGUAAGUCAUUUCAAGAAUCUCGGAGAGUUAAAGUAUAUCAAGUUUGACCAAUAUUAUAGAAAGAACUAUAAACUUUUAUGUCAUCAAAGAGAUAUAUACUAUGAAAAUAUAAGUAAUGAAGAACCUAAUGAGACUUACUAGUUGAUAUCAUAAAUUUUGUUCUAGGCGAUGUAAACAGAGCCUUAAUACACCUCUAAUUCCACGAGUCAAGAUGGUGUUACCAUCAUUUGCCUCGCCCUCUCGUGAUUUCCCUUUCUACUAGUAGUUUCUACCCGUGAUAGAGACCCAGCACAGAGCGAAGCUAUAAGCGGCUGACACCACGAAAGGCUAAGGGCCUGUUUAGUUUCCCACCCAAAAUUUUUUCAUCCAUCCCAUCGAAUCUUUGGACACAUGUAUAGAACAUUAAAUGUAGAUAAAAAAAUAAACUAAUUACACAGUUUAGUUAAGAAUUGUGAGACGAAUCUUUUAAGCCUAGUUACUCCAUGAUUAGCCUUAAGUGCUACAGUAACCCACAUAUGCUAAUGACAGAUUAAUUAUGCUUAAUAAAUUUGUCUUGCAGUUUCCUGACGAGCUAUGUAAUUUGUUUUUUUAUUAGUUUCUAAAAACCCCUCCCGACAUCCUUCCGACACAUUCGAUGUGACACCCCAAAAAAUUUCGUUCCCAAUCUAAACAGGCCCUAACACCAGGGAGCAUUGCCAGUCAACCCCUCCUCCCAUUCCGGCAGUGUUUUGCUCUCCAAGCAACAACAACUAUACCCCAUGAGUCGUCUGAUCUGAUGGAUGACCAUACUCUGAUGAAUCCCAUGUACUCAAACCAUCUCUCAACAGGCGUUGCUUUCCAACAGACGCACUGAUCACGGGUACAGCAAAGAAUUGCCAAGGCAAUUGCAUUGCAUGUGGACAUCCAUGAUUCACAACUCCCACAAAAGAACGUCACAAGAAACGGACUUGACAUCUAUCUAUAGGCUUAUCUUUACGUACUACCUCUAUCUCAUCGCAUACAAUACACUUCUUGCCAAGAUAAGCUUCAGGCUUGCUGUGACUUCCAGGCUUCCAGCACCGAGUGAUGAUAAUGUACAAUACCGAUGACGACAUGUCAAUACACCACUUGCUGGCCUUCAGGUCAGAAUGCACGUCUCAAAAGAACUUCCAGCGGAAGCGACGAGCCGACGACGACGGAAAACCACGGCAUACUUUCACCACAAACUAUACGGCUAAUAAAGCGAUAGCACAAGCUGCCAUUUCAGCUGAGGAUCCAAACCCAGCUUUCCUUCAGAUCGAAUAGUUCUUGAGAUUUUACUUGAUAUAUGCACAGAACCAAGACUGGACGAAACUUGAAAGAUAUUCAACGAAAAAAAUAAACCAGCAAUCGGUAAUAGUAAUUAGGAAGCAAUAGGAUUAAAUUACAGUUUGAAUAGGGCAUAUAUUUACAUUAUUACACAAUCGAGAGAAUGAAACCAUGAUAAAAAGGAGAAGGAUAGACACAAUUGAGAGACCCCACCCCACCCCCCAACUAACACACUACUAACCCAGACCUCCCCACCUGACUGACGACCUGAAGGAACCUAUCGAUCCGAGCGAACACUUGACUGAACCCAGGCACGGGACACGAACGAAUCCAGAGAUCCAUCCUUCGACGAUGAAUGACCGCUCAUCAGUCAGAUCUUGUUGAUCUUCUCGGCCAUCACGACAGGGUUCUGCUUGGCGAUCUGCUCCCUGGCCGCUGUCUUGUAGUCGAAGGUGCACUGGUGGGAGUCCGUGUAGCGGUGCAUGGAGCAGAAGGUUCCACCGCAGCGGCACUGGAACCCAGUCAGCCCCACCUUCUUGCGGCACGUCAGGCACCGGUUGCUCGGCGGCUUUGGGGGCUCCUCCUGUGCUGCUUGCUUGUCGUCUACAGCUGCGGCUGCUUCAGCAGCAGCAGCAGCAGCAGCGGUGGGCAAUGCGUCUCGCUUUGCUGCCUCUAGUGGCAGCACUGCAGAGGAUGAUGCCCCUGCUAUAACCUUCUUCUCCACCACAGGGGUUUCCAUCAACUUGAUGAAGUCCCUAUAGCACUUCGAGCACAUAUUGUUUGUCAUGCUGCUGCCGAAGAAACCACAAUUGUUUAUGCACAGAAUCGGGGCCUCAGGGGCAUGGACUCCAGUUUCCUCAGACUCUUGUUUCCAGCUCUCUUGUGCCAUUGCUGCUAUCAACAGGCU
RNAcentral lists this long non-coding RNA (5105 nucleotides) under Sorghum bicolor (sorghum). Its description in RNAcentral is "long non-coding RNA (SBIC_LNC001972)". Lineage: Eukaryota; Viridiplantae; Streptophyta; Magnoliopsida; Poales; Poaceae. The record is from RNAcentral.